UAUUGAAAUACAUAUAAAAUCAAGUGUAAUCCAAUGGAAGUAAAACAAGAAGUUAAGGAGGAAAUCUGUAAAGUAGAAGUAGAGUGUAAUGACCUGGAUGAUGCUCCUUUGGAUGACUUUAAAUGUGAAAUCAAGGAGGAAUCCAAAUGGCAAAGUACACAUGACACCAAUGAUUAUUUAGACGUGAAGGAACUUCCUAUAAACACUCAAAUAGAUCAACAUGAAAUUAUUCACCCAUUUGAAGAAGACCAAAAAACCGAAAAAGAUUAUCUCCAUGAGGACAAAAUGGAAAUUUUUGAGGCAAUAACUGAACAUUCAUCCUACGAAGGAAAUUAUAACGAAUCCACAUACUGAAGGAAAACCGUUAAAUAAAAAUAGGAAAGUUGAGAGUGGAAAAAGACGUUACAAAUGUGAAAUUUGUUUUAAACAGUUUAGUCAAACAAGUAGUUUGAAAAUACAUUUGAGAGUGCACACUGGGGAAAAACCUUACAAGUGUGAGAUUUGUUUCAAGCAAUUUUCUCAGAAAAGCCAUUUGGAAAGUCAUUUGAUAGUGCACACUGAAGAAAAACCCUAUAUGUGUGAAAUUUGUUUUAGGAACUUUAGAGAACGAGGUCAUUUGAAAAGGCAUUUAAUGAUGCACACUGGAGAAAAACCUCAUAAGUGUGAAAUUUGUUUAAAGCAUUUUAGUGUAUUAAGACAUUUGAAAGAGCACUUGAGAGUACACACUGGAGAAAAACCGUACUCGUGUAAAAUCUGUUGUAAACAGUUUAGUCUAAAAACUACUUUGAAAACACAUUUGAAAGUGCACACUGGAGAAACACCAUUCAAGUGUGAAAUCUGUUGUAAAAAGUUUAGUCUAAAAGGUACUUUGAAAACACAUUUGAAAGUGCACACUGGAGAAAAACCAUACAAGUGUGAGAUUUGUUUCAAGCAAUUUUCUCAGAAAAGCCAUUUAAAAAGUCAUUUGAUAGUGCAUACUGAAGAAAAACCCUAUAAGUGCGAAACUUGUUUUAGGAACUUUAGAGAACGAGGUCAUUUGAAAAGGCAUUUAAUGAUGCACACUGGAGAAAAACCUCAUAAGUGUGAAUUUUGUUUUAAGCAGUUUACUACAGCAGGUGAUGUAAAAAGACAUUUUGAUAGUGCAAACUGGGAAAAAAAAUGUACAAGUGUGAAAAUUAGUUUGUACCGGUUUUCUCAAAUAAAUAUUUUGAAACAAUAUUUAAGGACACACAGUGGAGAAAAAAACCUCAAUAAUCAUAAAACGUAAUUAAGGGGAUUGGUACAAAGUUUCGGCUCCAAUGCUAUUUAAAUGGGAUUCACUUUUUCAAAUCCUGAGAAAACUAAUAAGUAUUUUUGAAAAAUUUAAACGAAGAAUGAAAGAUUACGUUCUUAUCGAGAGCCGAAACUCCCUGAAAACUUCUAUACUGUUUAUUUUAAUAAGUUACAGGGGUGAAAAACUAAGAGAAAAUGUAGUGUGAUUUUUAAUUUCAAAUAUCUCAUUCAAAAGAAACUUUUUAUUUAUUCUAAGGGAUUUCCGGCUCUCGAUAAUAAUUUGAUCUUUCAUUCUACGUUUAUUUUUUUUUAAUAUUUAUUAGUUUUUUCAGGAUUCGAAACACAUGCCACAUGCCUAUGGUGAUAUUUAUCAAAUCGAACAUUCUCUAUCUAAAGCCGGAUUCACAUCAAUAAAAAUUUACGUUGUUAUUCGCUCCCAGUGUUAACAAAGUGUCAAAUCAAAAUCGACCGACCUGCUCAUGGUGGCGGUUUUUUGAAAUUUUGUAAGGACGCUUUGUGUAUGUUUAAAUGGGAUAUUUAAAAAAAUACUGUGUCACGCUAGUGAUAUUUUUUUUAUUUAUUAAAUUAACAAUGCACCUAAUCUUAAGACUAACCAGCAUUUUACAUUUAUCUUAAUCUACUACUGUACUGUCCUAGGUAUUCCCAACGGUUCACCUUAGAAUUUAAUAAUUAUUGUUGCACACAUCACUGUUGUGGCUAGGUUCACUGUCCGAAUUUAAACUGACACUGACAUUUUUAUAGAUUUAUCACUAUCACACAAGUUCAAAAGGUUUGGUGCGUUUGAGCCUGCGGACUAGGUUUUGAUUAUCUAAAAGUUCUAACACUUCCCUGUUUGUAUGGUUGUGGAGUCGUUUUUCAUAACCCUUGGCAAUCUUCUUUAUUUCUUCUUUGAUUGUUGCUAUACGAAGUUCCCGAUGUAGGUCUUUGUUGUGGAUAUACCAUGGAGCGUUGACUAUGUUUCUUAGUAUUCGGUUUUGGACUCUUUGCAGGCAAGCAUAGUUACCCUCACUAGUACAGCCCCAUAACUGUAGACCAUAGGACCAUACUGGUAGGAGCAUUUGUUUGUAAACUUUGUUUUUGAUUGUAAGUUGUGAGCUUCUACCUAAUAACCAAUAUAACUUCUUGUACUUCAGUUUUAGUUCUUCAGUUUUCUUUUUGAUAUGUUCCUGCCACUUUAAUUUGCUGUCCAAAUGUAGCCCUAGAUAUUUAACUGUUUUCUUGUACGGAACGAUUUUAUUGUUUAUUCUAACUGGGUGACUAUUUAUUUUUUUGUAGGUGAAAUCGAUAUGGGCAGAUUUCCCUUCAUUGAUUUUUAUGCGCCAUUUAUUAUUCCAGGUGUUUAUUUUGUUUACUGCAUUUUGCAGGUGUCUAGUUGUUUCUUCGAAUGUUUCACCUACUGCUAGUAUUGCAGUGUCGUCUGCAAAUGUUGCCAGUUUAAUAUUUUCUGUAACAGGUAUGUCACAAGUAUAUAAUAAAUAUAGUAUGGGUCCCAGAACACUGCCCUGUGGGAUUCCUGCUUUAAUUGGCUGUAAUUCUGAAUAUUCGCCUUCCUGUUUAACUCUAAAAGUUCUAUCUUCCAAAUAUGAUUGUAUUAGAUGUACAAAUUGGAUGGGAAGAUAUCUUUUUAAUUUUAGUAACAAGCCUUUGUGCCACACUUUGUCAAAUGCUUUUGCUAUGUCUAGAAAAAUAGCUGAGCAUAUUUUAUUCUCCUCCAGAGAUCUCUCUAUAAUAUCUGUUAUUCGAUGAAUUUGGUCUAUUGUUGAAUGUUUAUUGCGAAAUCCAAAUUGGUGGGAAGAAACAACUUCCCUGUGGUCGAGUAUAGGUUGCAUUCGUGCUAGCAAUAUCCUCUCAAAUAGUUUGGAUAAAAUUGGUAGCAGAGAUAUUGGUCUGUAUGAUUCUACCUUGUUGGUUGGUUUCCCUGGUUUGGGAAUCAUGAUUAAUUCAGAUGUUUCCACGUUAUUGGUACAUAUUGCAACCUGAAUACUGCAUUUAUAAGGUUUGUGACUUUUACGAUGGCCUUUCUAGGUAAUUGUUGUAGUAUUUCUCCUGUUAUUAAGUCAAAUCCUGGAGCCUUUUUGGGAUUGAUAUUGUUUUUGAUUACGUUGGUAACCUCUUUAGGAGUAGUAGGCUUUAUUAUGUCUUGAUCAGUAUUGUUCAAUUCAGUUUCAGUGCUUUCAUCAUCUUCGUUUUCGGCUUGGUGAUUAUUUCCCAUUUCGUUAUUUUGGAAUACAUUUUCCAAGUAUAAAGCGAAAAGAUUUGCUUUUUGUUUUCCAUCUCUUGCCCAUGUUCCAUUUUCUUUUCUAAUCGGCGGAAUCUGUUGCGUUGGUCUAUUUAUUCUUUUUGUACAUUUCCACAACGAGUAGUCAGUGGUUUGGUCAUCUGUCAGAUCAUUUAGGUAUUGGUUUACUGAUUCAUUUUUAAUUAAAUCUAUUUUUCUUCUUAACUGUUAAGUGAGGUUGUUUAAUACAUUUUUAUUUUCUGCAGUUCUGCUUUUUUGCCACGUCUUCCUGGCUUUUCUUUUUCUUUGCACCAGUUCUCGAAUUUCUUUGGGAUAAUUUUGUCCUUUGGUUUUUCUUAUAAUUUGUUUGGUAUUAUUCCAAGCUGCUUAUUGUAUAUUUAUGGUUAGUGUCUCUGUUUCUUCAUCAAGUUGUUCAUUAGUUUUGAUUGAUACAUUAAGCUCAAUUCUGUCACUUAACUCCUGCCUAAAGCUAGCCCAGUCCGUUCUCUUAUUGGUUAAUGUCGGGUUAUUUUCUCUUAGUAUUAUAUGCUCACUGAUUGUGAGUAGUAUUAGAGAGUGAUCAGAACUGGGACCACAAUUUCUUCUAUUGUCAUAAAAUUUGUUGCAACUUUUCUUGAAAUGAAAAAGUCAAUUAAGUCUGGUAUUUUAUUUUGAUCAGUGGGCCAAUAUGUUGGUUUUCCAGUUGAGUGCCAUUUGCCGUUUAUCUUUUCUAUUGCUGCAUGUAGUUCUCUACCCUUUGUAUUGGUUAAUCUUGAACCCCAUACAGUGUUUUUAGCAUUAAAGUCUGCACCAAUAAUAAAUUUUUCUCCAAGCGUGUUAAGCAAAUGGACAUAAUUUUCUUUUUUUAGAUUGUGUUUGGGUGGAAAAUAUGCAGCUGCUAUUGUUACUUCAUAUUUUUUUGUUUUGAAACUUAUACUAGCUGCCUGGAUGGCUUCAGUCUCUAUAUUUUCGCUUUCGAAGCGAAUUAGAUUAUUCUUAACGAUUAUUGCUGCUCCUCCACUAGCUGUGUUUCUAGGGUGAAGAGCUUGAUAUAUUUGGUAUCCUCUCAGUUUAAUAUAUGUUUGUUUAGUGAAGUGUGUCUCUGAUAUUAAACAUAUAUCGAUUUUUUGGUUAUUUAAGGUAAACAGCAUCUCCUGCUGAUGUUGCAAGAGGCCGUUUGCGUUCCAAUGUGAUAUUCUUAACUCUUCCGCCAUUUUAUCGUCUACUAGUUUCUAUGCUAUUGAAUUCUUCUUGAUUGUUCAUGCGUUCUAUUAGUAUGUGUAGCAUGUUUGAUAUCGAAUUGAGAUCAUUCUCUACUGGUUGUUUUGGCUCAUUAGAAGCUAUUUGGGCAUAUGUUUGGUUUUGGUUAACCUCUCUUGGAUGGAUUUGCGUAGGAUUCUCCAUAUCUGCUGCCUUGUUUUGUAGUUUGGUUGUAGGUCUCUGUUUGUUCCGUAAUUUUUGAAGAUAUAUAGCAGUGGUGCAACCUCUAUAACUAGCUGGGUGGGCACCACCACAGUGUACGCAUUUGGGUUCUUUAUCUUGUGGCUUCUUAGAAUCUUUUGUUAAAUGUUUCCCGAUGCAUUUUACGCAUCUCGGUUCUCUUCUGCAAUAAUUUUGUGUAUGUCCGUACUCUUGACACCGUUUACAUUGUGGAAUCAAAUUCGGUUUUCUGAAAGCUUCUAUCGUCACUUUCAUGUUUAAAAUUUCGGUAAUUUCAUACACUUUUUUUGUAUUUUCCUCUUUACUAAAAGUAAGUGCAAAAAGUGGCAGUGGCGAUUUGUCCUUUCCUCUUAGUAAUUGGGUUACGUUUUCUAUUUUAUAUCCCUUAUUUUUUAGGUCUUCCGUUAUGUUCUUAACUUGGCAAGUUUGAUGCAGUUUUCUUGCAACCACUUUUAGAGGUCAUUUAGAGUCUUGGUUAGGUUUCUGUAGCUAUUUUCGUCUUUGACAUUAAUUUUUAUAUUAGUGGCUGACUAGGGUGUCGUAUUUUUCCAAUUUGUUUAUAAUGACUGGUGGUGGUUUACGUGCCGUUUGUGUCUCGUCUGGUUUACUUCUCUGUUGGUGGGAGUGGGGCUGUACUUCCUUUGGGGAGUUGCUUAUCUUCCUUUUUUUUAUGAAUUUUGGACUCGAAUCCAUUCCGUUUCUUUACUCAGUUCUUCGUCCUCUGUGC
This 5678-nucleotide unclassified non-coding RNA is filed under the name Diabrotica virgifera virgifera (western corn rootworm). RNAcentral describes it as "zinc finger protein 729-like". The record is from RNAcentral. Lineage: Eukaryota; Metazoa; Arthropoda; Insecta; Coleoptera; Chrysomelidae.